GGCCCACCAGAAUGCUGCAAUUGCUGCAUGCAGAACUUAUAAAAAGAGAUGGAUCUAAGUGGUACAAGGGAUGGACCAUAGCAGAUGCUGUGAUAUGCCAUCUGGAUCCUGCCUCAAGACUGAAGGACUUAUUCCCCCAAGUUCCUGGGAGUUCUGCUGGUCAACGGCCUUCAGCAAUCAGCACUUUUUUUGAAUAUCUCUGGAGUGAUAAUUAAGAAACAGAUAAUAGUGGUUGCCUCUGGGAAGGAUGGCUGGGAAAUGAGGAUGGAGGAAGAGGAGAUUUGACACAGGUGUGGAGGUAAGACCAUGAGAGGAUAUAGCAAGAAGGUGCAAGCCAAGAAGGGAGGCCUCAGGAGAAACCAAUCCUGCCACCAUCCUGGCCUCCGACUUCCAGGCUUCAGAAUUGUAAGAAAAUAAAUUUCUGUUGUUUAA
Callorhinus ursinus (northern fur seal) is the source of this 432-nucleotide long non-coding RNA. RefSeq lists it as uncharacterized. Lineage: Eukaryota; Metazoa; Chordata; Mammalia; Carnivora; Otariidae. The record is from RefSeq and is a predicted model, not a curated record.